GCCUACGGGGGGCAGCAGUCGAGAAUCAUUCACAAUGGGGGAAACCCUGAUGGUGCGACGCCGCGUGGGUGAAGAAGGUCUUCGGAUCGUAAAACCCUGUUGUUAGAGAAGAAAGUGCGUGAGAGUAACUGUUCACGUUUCGACGGUAUCUAACCAGAAAGCCACGGCUAACUACGUGCCAGCAGCCGCGGUAAUACGUAGGUGGCAAGCGUUAUCCGGAUUUAUUGGGCGUAAAGGGAACGCAGGCGGUCUUUUAAGUCUGAUGUGAAAGCCUUUGGCUUAACCGGAGUAGUGCAUUGGAAACU
RNAcentral lists this ribosomal RNA (305 nucleotides) under uncultured bacterium. Its description in RNAcentral is "bacterial SSU rRNA". It matches the Rfam family "Bacterial small subunit ribosomal RNA", at positions 337 to 634 of the family's 1533-position model. The record is from RNAcentral.